RNAcentral lists this ribosomal RNA (2251 nucleotides) under Salmonella enterica subsp. enterica serovar Kisarawe. Its description in RNAcentral is "partial 23S ribosomal RNA". It matches the Rfam family "Bacterial large subunit ribosomal RNA", at positions 711 to 2925 of the family's 2925-position model. The record is from RNAcentral. Lineage: Bacteria; Pseudomonadati; Pseudomonadota; Gammaproteobacteria; Enterobacterales; Enterobacteriaceae.
AGACCCGAAACCCGGUGAUCUAGCCAUGGGCAGGUUGAAGGUUGGGUAACACUAACUGGAGGACCGAACCGACUAAUGUUGAAAAAUUAGCGGAUGACCUGUGGCUGGGGGUGAAAGGCCAAUCAAACCGGGAGAUAGCUGGUUCUCCCCGAAAGCUAUUUAGGUAGCGCCUCGUGAAUUCAUCUCCGGGGGUAGAGCACUGUUUCGGCUAGGGGGCCAUCCCGGCUUACCAACCCGAUGCAAACUGCGAAUACCGGAGAAUGUUAUCACGGGAGACACACGGCGGGUGCUAACGUCCGUCGUGAAGAGGGAAACAACCCAGACCGCCAGCUAAGGUCCCAAAGUCAUGGUUAAGUGGGAAACGAUGUGGGAAGGCCCAGACAGCCAGGAUGUUGGCUUAGAAGCAGCCAUCAUUUAAAGAAAGCGUAAUAGCUCACUGGUCGAGUCGGCCUGCGCGGAAGAUGUAACGGGGCUAAACCAUGCACCGAAGCUGCGGCAGCGACACUCAGGUGUUGUUGGGUAGGGGAGCGUUCUGUAAGCCUGUGAAGGUGGCCUGUGAGGGUUGCUGGAGGUAUCAGAAGUGCGAAUGCUGACAUAAGUAACGAUAAAGCGGGUGAAAAGCCCGCUCGCCGGAAGACCAAGGGUUCCUGUCCAACGUUAAUCGGGGCAGGGUGAGUCGACCCCUAAGGCGAGGCCGAAAGGCGUAGUCGAUGGGAAACGGGUUAAUAUUCCCGUACUUGGUGUUACUGCGAAGGGGGGACGGAGAAGGCUAUGUUGGCCGGGCGACGGUUGUCCCGGUUUAAGCGUGUAGGUGUGUGUUCCAGGUAAAUCCGGUUCACUUUAACACUGAGGCGUGACGACGAGGCACUACGGUGCUGAAGCAACAAAUGCCCUGCUUCCAGGAAAAGCCUCUAAGCAUCAGGUAACACGAAAUCGUACCCCAAACCGACACAGGUGGUCAGGUAGAGAAUACCAAGGCGCUUGAGAGAACUCGGGUGAAGGAACUAGGCAAAAUGGUGCCGUAACUUCGGGAGAAGGCACGCUGACACGUAGGUGAAGUGAUUUACUCAUGGAGCUGAAGUCAGUCGAAGAUACCAGCUGGCUGCAACUGUUUAUUAAAAACACAGCACUGUGCAAACACGAAAGUGGACGUAUACGGUGUGACGCCUGCCCGGUGCCGGAAGGUUAAUUGAUGGGGUCAGCGCAAGCGAAGCUCCUGAUCGAAGCCCCGGUAAACGGCGGCCGUAACUAUAACGGUCCUAAGGUAGCGAAAUUCCUUGUCGGGUAAGUUCCGACCUGCACGAAUGGCGUAAUGAUGGCCAGGCUGUCUCCACCCGAGACUCAGUGAAAUUGAACUCGCUGUGAAGAUGCAGUGUACCCGCGGCAAGACGGAAAGACCCCGUGAACCUUUACUAUAGCUUGACACUGAACAUUGAGCCUUGAUGUGUAGGAUAGGUGGGAGGCUUUGAAGUGUGGACGCCAGUCUGCAUGGAGCCGACCUUGAAAUACCACCCUUUAAUGUUUGAUGUUCUAACGUGGACCCGUGAUCCGGGUUGCGGACAGUGUCUGGUGGGUAGUUUGACUGGGGCGGUCUCCUCCUAAAGAGUAACGGAGGAGCACGAAGGUUGGCUAAUCCUGGUCGGACAUCAGGAGGUUAGUGCAAUGGCAUAAGCCAGCUUGACUGCGAGCGUGACGGCGCGAGCAGGUGCGAAAGCAGGUCAUAGUGAUCCGGUGGUUCUGAAUGGAAGGGCCAUCGCUCAACGGAUAAAAGGUACUCCGGGGAUAACAGGCUGAUACCGCCCAAGAGUUCAUAUCGACGGCGGUGUUUGGCACCUCGAUGUCGGCUCAUCACAUCCUGGGGCUGAAGUAGGUCCCAAGGGUAUGGCUGUUCGCCAUUUAAAGUGGUACGCGAGCUGGGUUUAGAACGUCGUGAGACAGUUCGGUCCCUAUCUGCCGUGGGCGCUGGAGAACUGAGGGGGGCUGCUCCUAGUACGAGAGGACCGGAGUGGACGCAUCACUGGUGUUCGGGUUGUCAUGCCAAUGGCACUGCCCGGUAGCUAAAUGCGGAAGAGAUAAGUGCUGAAAGCAUCUAAGCACGAAACUUGCCCCGAGAUGAGUUCUCCCUGAGACUUUAGGUCUCCUGAAGGAACGUUGAAGACGACGACGUUGAUAGGCCGGGUGUGUAAGCGCAGCGAUGCGUUGAGCUAACCGGUACUAAUGAACCGUGAGGCUUAACCUUACAACGCCGAAG